This is a small nuclear RNA of Vigna unguiculata (cowpea), 160 nucleotides long. RefSeq annotates it as U1 spliceosomal RNA. Lineage: Eukaryota; Viridiplantae; Streptophyta; Magnoliopsida; Fabales; Fabaceae. The record is from RefSeq and is a predicted model, not a curated record.
AUACUUACCUGGAUGGGGUUAAUGAGCUAUCAAGAAGGCUCAUAGCCUAGAACAGGGACCUUCAUUGCACAAAGAAGGGGUGCUGUUCUAAGGUCUACUCUAGCAGUGGAGCCUACAUCAUAAUUUGUGGCAGAGGGGCAUGCGUCCGCGCAGCCCCUAC